This 440-nucleotide ribosomal RNA is filed under the name uncultured bacterium. Its description in RNAcentral is "partial 16S ribosomal RNA". It matches the Rfam family "Bacterial small subunit ribosomal RNA", at positions 338 to 795 of the family's 1533-position model. The record is from RNAcentral.
CCUACGGGCGGCAGCAGUGGGGAAUAUUGCACAAUGGGGGAAACCCUGAUGCAGCGACGCCGCGUGAGUGAAGAAGUAAUUCGUUAUGUAAAGCUCUAUCAGCAGGGACGAAAAUGACGGUACCUGAGUAAGAAGCCACGGCUAACUACGUGACAGCAGCCGCGGUAAUACGUAGGGGGCAAGCGUUAUCCGGAUUUACUGGGUGGAAAGGGAGCGUAGACGGCAGUGCAAGUCUGGAGUGAAAGGCGGGGGCUCAACCCCCGGACUGCUCUGGAAACUGUACGGCUGGAGUGCAGGAGUGGUAAGUGGAAGUCCUAGUGUAGCGGUGAAAUGCGUAGAGAUUAGGAGGAACACCAGUGGCGAAGGCGGCUUACUGGACUGUAACUGACGUUGAGGCUCGAAAGCGUGGGGAGCAAACAGGAUUAGAUACCCCGGUAGUC